AAAAUUUGUUUUCAUAUAAUUUUAUCUUUUUGUAUUUUCACUUUAUAAUUUUUAUUAAAUGUGUAUUGUAACAUUGUUUUGUACAAUAUUUCGCUUUAUUGUAAUUAAUAUAUUUGUAUUUUGCAUAAGGUAAAAAAUUAUAAGUUCUAAAAUGAUAAUUAUAAAAGUUAGUAAGAUAAUUUGAAAAUAGAUAAUUAGAUAAGGAUUCAAAAGUAAGAAACUUUAAAAUUUGAAGUUUUGAAGUUGUUUUUGAAGCAUGAAAAUUGAAGUUUUGAAGUUGCUUUUGGAGAUGCUAUAAAUCAGAUAGGCUAGCUCGAAAAUAAAACCAAAGUAAUCAUUAACCAUGUUUUUUUUAGUUUUACAUAAAAUAAUAUAUAUUUUAAAACUAAUUUUAAAAAUGAAAAUAUACAUAUAAUGUCAAAUCAAAUAAUUUAUUAUAAUUUUGGAAUUAUUCCAACUUUUAUAUUUUAUUUUCCAAAAUACUACCAACUAACACUUCCAUCAAUGAUGCAAACUGUGUAUUCAUAAAGUUUUCAAAGUUUAGGAAUGAGAACUAUUUGAUUUAGAAUUCAUUAUUACACUUGGAGGAUCCUUAAACUUAAAAACUAUGAUAUUUUGGAUUUUUAACGUCACUAACUAUAAUCUUCAUAACGAGGAUAACAUAUGAAUCAUAUAUAAUUUCUUUUGAAAAGAUCUAGAGUUUUUAGAGCAUCAUUAUCCAAAGUUUCUUAAGCCGGGGUUCUUAAGGGAAUAUAAGAAACUGUUUCUUAUUUUUUAACAAAAAAAGUUAAGAAAUUGUUUUUUAAAGUACUAUUUUAAGAAACAGUUGUUUGUAUUCUCUUAAGAAUCUCGUCCAAAACCCUGGAUAAUGAUGCUUUUAGCUAAAAUAUCCACUGUAUAAUUAUCCGUACAAAUAUGUAUUUAAUUGGCGAGGUCUUGAAAAUGUCCUCUUAGUCUUUCAGCUUCUUUUUUUUUUUUUUAACUCCGUGGAAAAACUUUGUCAUGCACUUGGAUUUUGAAUCAUCAUUCAUCACUAUCAACUCUUGGCAAUCUGUUUUGAAAUGUUGAACUAUUGAAUGCUACGACAUAUUUACUUCAUAACUCAGAUCGAGAUCCCAGAAAAUAAACGAUAGAGAGAUGGGUUACGUAUGCGGCAUAUGGAUCACAAUCUCCAAGGAAGUAAACACUUCUGGAAGCAACAAGACAGAGAUGUGUGUAUUAUGAAUCAUGUCAACUUUAAGUGUCAGCACAUAUGGAGCUAUGUCCAACACAAUGUACUUUUCAUGACUCGUCUUUUUUUUGUUUCUUCCCAAUAAAAUUUCCCCAAAGGGACCAUUGAUCUUCUCUCUCUCUCAUCUUCGUUGCCGUAUCCUCUGUCUUGUGACAGAUUGAUUUGUGUAAUGUUAAACUUUCUCCCUCGGGAUCAAAUGAUUCGUUUAUUAUCACGGAUU
Molecule: long non-coding RNA, 1451 nt
Organism: Brassica napus (rape)
Lineage: Eukaryota; Viridiplantae; Streptophyta; Magnoliopsida; Brassicales; Brassicaceae
Exons: 2
Source: RefSeq, a predicted model, not a curated record